Molecule: long non-coding RNA, 3058 nt
Organism: Triticum dicoccoides
Lineage: Eukaryota; Viridiplantae; Streptophyta; Magnoliopsida; Poales; Poaceae
Exons: 10
Source: RefSeq, a predicted model, not a curated record
GCGGCUCGCUCCCACCCACCCACGCCGCCGAUUCCUCCACCUCCACCUCCACCUCCGGCGACGGGCGAUCCCCAAUCCGACGACGGCCCGCCUUCUUCCUCCCCAAGAUCCAGCGGCUCCUCUCCUCUCCGGUCGCUGCCGACCGUGCUCGGGCUGCGGCCACCAGCAGAGGACCGCCGCCGGCUCCACUAGGAAGCACCGGCACCGGCACCGGCAGAGGAGUCCUCCUUCUUCCACCCCAUAGCCGCCCGCCGCCCGCCGCCCGAAACCUUAGCACCACCCGUGGUGAUGGCGCCCUAGGCCCAUCUCAUCUGCUGGUGUCAAGGAAGGGGCCAUGCCCUCCCUCCCAUGGAGAAGCUUCUUUGGUUCUUCUACCUCCCGUCCCCUCCCCUGCCUAGGUGUACUACAGCGGCAACCAGCAAAGCAGCCAGAGGAGGCGCCAAACAUCCCACCCAGCACCAACGUGGUGAACUUCCUCUCUCCCCCACAUCUGAAUAUCAAAGCACUUUGUAUUUGCGCCUUCCUUUUUGGAUGGCAUCACGUUUUUGUUCAUCAUGCUUGAAUGUAUAAAACUCUAUGUGUGUAAGCAUCAAUUCUAUCCACACAUCACGUUUUUUCUAACUGGACAAGAGGGCUCCCUCUGUACUGUAUUGCACUGCACUCUUUGUACUCUCAGAUAGAUAAGAUUGCCCUCAAAAUGUUGUCGUUCCUCCUCAACAGACCCGUUUCAUCUGUUUGCUGCUCAAGUGUAACAUUAUCUUUCAAUCUGCUCCUGAUGAGCUACACUUCAUUUGCUGGUCGCUGUUGUACAAUAGCAGCGUACGUAGUAUACAAUCUCGUCAGAUUAAAACAAUUGAUCCUUUGACAGUUAAGGCUUUCACACAAUUGACGGAGAUGCACGCUUUUGAAUAUUUCCGCACUCAUGCGUUGUCAUCAGUAGGAUCAAAUGGUGAAUGGAUUAGCUAGCAAAUAAUUGCGCCAAAAUAUGCAUCUUUAUUACACCCUCCGAUCCAUAUUAACUGAUGCUGGUCUAGUACAAAGUUGUACUAACUUUGUACUAAACUAGCGUCAAUUAGUUUGGAUCGGAGUGAGUAUUAUUAUUACUUUGACCUGAAAACCAUAGGGAAGGCCUCGCUGACAAUAAAAUUUAUCAAGGAAAAGAUAACUACAACAACAAGAAGGGGAUGUACGUACAACACACGGGCUGUACAAGAUUUACGAAAUAAAUAAACAAAACGAAUUCAAUAACGAAUGUUGGCAUUUACUGUUUGCCACUGUUCGUCUUUUCAUAUACCUCAUCAAUGAAUUUGUGUCUCAAGUUUAAAUUUUGCUGGUAAGGGACCAUGGAGAGGCUGCCGUGGGUCGAGUUCUAGGCCAUGCUGGGGGAGGAGGGCAACCCUGAUGAGUGCAUGGACGGACAAACCUGUCGCAAGCCCCCUCCUCUUCUCCUCCAUUGCGCUGCGGCCGAACGGAGCUGUAGCCGGCAUGGGGCGUUCUUCGUCGCCGUGACCGCGACCUCUCUUCGGAACCAGGCCGGCGACAGGGACAGAACACGACGCAGCGUCGUUGCCGGGCGUGCCUUUCCUGGACCACGGCGCGGAGGCGCCGCCGUCCGACACGAGCUUGGCGGCGUAGCAGCUCUGCCUGCGUACGCGCUCACUCCGACGCCUCCCAGUGGGCUUCUUCUUCGACUCCGACCGUGCAUAGAGAUGGUCUUUUCGCCGCCGCUGACCGCGACCUCCGAGGCAUGCCGUUGGGAACCAGGCCGCUGAUAGGGCCGCAGCGUGAAGCAACGUCGUUGCCGGGCGUGCCUUUCCUGGACCACGGUGUGCAGCUGCCGCCGUCCGGCACGAGGUUGGCCACGAAGCAGCUCUGCCUGCAUUGGCCUCACUUCGACGCCUCCCACGUGGUUUCCCCAGUGGCCACUUCUUCUCGACUCCGGCAUGGGAGCAGAAGUGUGUGUGGUGGAGAACAUCACCAGUGAGUCUGUCGGCCUGCACUGGCGCUCACUCUGAUGUCUCCCUUCGGUGGCCGCUUUUUCUUCUACUCCAGCACAUGCCAAGAGCAGAAGUGUGCACGAUGGAGAACGUCACCAUCGAGUCCAUCGGCCUGCACUAGCGCUCACUUCAACAUCUCCCUCCGUUGGCUGCUUCUUCAUCUUCUACUACUCCAGCACAUCUUGCUGACGUAGGUCAGGAGCACAAGUGUGUGCAGUGGAGAACAUCACCGGCGAGUCUGUCGGCCUGCACUGGCACUCACUCUGAUGUCUCCCUCCGGUGGCUGCUUCUUCUACUCCCAUCACAUGUCAGGAGCACAAGUGUGCGCGGUGGAGAACGUCACUAGCGAGUCCGUUGGCCUGCACCGGCUCUCACUCCGACGUUUCCCUCCACUGGCCGCUUCUUCAUCUUCUACUACUCCACCACAUGUCAGGAGCAAAAGUGUGUGUGGUGGAGAACAUCACCGGUGAGUCUGUCGUCCUGCAUCCCUGCUCUCUCCAACGUCUCCCUCCGGUGGCCACUUCUUGUACUCGAGCACAUGAUGUUCCUCCUGCCUUGUGCGAUCUGAGGGUGCAUUGCUCGGAAUGGGUUUAUCCUGGCGUUGAUGCUUAUUCUUCUUCCUCUGAGCCCAGCCCAUACGCAGUUCCAGGCACACCUAGAGCAUGAAGAGAUGCAUGGCAGUGACAGUUUGGCGCCAUUGAGAUUGAUGACACAUGACGAGGAAGGAAGGCACUUCCUAGAUCCGAGAUUUGCAAGCAUCAAGAUGAAUUGGCAAGGCGAGCCGGCCGAUGGGAUGUGUUGAUAUGUGCAUUGUUUGUUGUUUUCUGACAUGGGUGGUGAUAUAGUGUUGUGUACGUACAUAAAAUAAAAUUCCUUGGUUAUUGCCUGCUGCUCUCUUUGUCAGCUGGCUGGUGGUGUUGCUCAUAGUUUUGGGAUGCUGGUGGUAUUGAACUCCUCAUGAACUAUCUAAGCUAGUGCUGAAAGAAAAUCAAAUAUCCUUGUUUUAUGUAUGAAUGCCAUGCAAUUAAUUCUCAGUGGAAGGUUUGAAUAGUUGCUGCAAA